RNAcentral lists this ribosomal RNA (507 nucleotides) under uncultured bacterium. Its description in RNAcentral is "partial 16S ribosomal RNA". It matches the Rfam family "Bacterial small subunit ribosomal RNA", at positions 29 to 523 of the family's 1533-position model. The record is from RNAcentral.
AGUGAACGCUGGCGGUAGGCCUAACACAUGCAAGUCGAACGGCAGCACAGAGGCGCUUGCUCCUUGGGUGGCGAGUGGCGGACGGGUGAGGAAUACAUCGGAAUCUACUCUGUCGUGGGGGCUAACGUAGGGAAACUUACGCUACUACCGCAUACGACCUACGGGUGAAAGCAGGGGAUCUUCGGACCUUCCGCGAGUGCAUGAGCCGAUGUCGGAUUAGCUAGUUGGUGGGGUAAAGGCUCACCAAGGCGACGAUCCGUAGCUGGUCGUGAGAGGAUGAUCAGCCACACUGGAACUGAGACACGGUCCAGACUCCUACGGGAGGCAGCAGUGGGGAAUAUUGGACAAUGGGCGCAAGCCUGAUCCAGCAAUACCGCGUGGGUGAAGAAGGCCUUCGGGUUGUAAAGCCCUUUUGUUGGGAAAGAAAUCCAUCUGGUUAAUACCCGUGUGGGAUGACGGUACCCAAAGAAUAAGCACCGGCUAACUUCGUGCCAGCAGCCGCCGUAA